UACGUUUUAUUGCGACACGCCUUUACACGUGAGAAGAAGUGAGAAAGGUAACUAUUUUAUCUUGGUCGUAUAUUUCUGACCCUGAAAAACUCUUGCGAUAAUAUCAAAGACUGUGUGUUGUGUAUUUCCGAAGAAGAAUUGUGAGAAGUUCUUCCGGUUACUUGAUAGAUUUCAGCCGUUUGUGACUUGUCACAUUGUGAAAAGUUUUCACGAAUUUUGUCAUGCUUUUUCGUGUCAAGUCCGAACCUGUUUUCUCUAUAAGAAUGGCUACAGUUACAGUCAGGAAGAAAACUCGUCGUGGGAGAAGGAAAGGAAACCGGUUUAGCUCAAGCAAGAGGUCGGUGUUUAUUCCAGCACGAAAUUGGUUGGAGAAAGGAGACAGAAGUAAGAUAAACUUUGCAGCAGAAAAUAUUACUUCUGGGGGGUGCCCGAUCUCGGACCAGAUUGAGAACAGUGCACCUUAUGAUGGCUGCGAGUUUUUCUACAGCCAUUGGUGGAAUUGCACGCCUUUCAAAAAAACCCAGAAACUUGUUCGUCCACCAUACAUGCCUAUUGCACCAAAUAAUUCAACACAAUUCAUCAUUGACAGUCAUUUUGAAAUCGAGUUUGACAAGACUGGACGAGAUGAAGUAGAGGAAAGCAUUGUAACAGGUAAUUAUGGAGACUCAGAGAGUGAAAAGAAUGAGCACAGUGGUGGUGUUCAGCACUCAGCUGUGAGUGAGGACCUGUCCAGAAACAGCCAAAGAAUGAAAUUAAAACCUUGUACAAAUCGUACAGACAUAACAGACCGAUGUCAACAGCAUAAUGAAACUCCAGAAGAUAAUCUCAAAGAGGGGGUCGUUGAAGGAUCCUAUCUACUUGAAAUAGACUAUGAUUAUGAAUCGCUCUACAAUGAUGACUUUUUCGAAUUUGUUCAUAAUGACUUUGUACAGACAUAUCAAGAACUGCAGAGAGAGAAAUUAUUGAGACUGCCAAAAUCAGAGCUUAUUGUUAAAAUCAUGGAACUCGAGACAAAAUUUGAUGAAUUACAGAGGAAAGAGGAGAUGCAGAAUUUGACGUGAAUUUUAUCUUUUCCUGAGCCCAACAUGGAAGUGUGACAUCAAACCAUUUUGUGGUUAUCAAAACCACAUGAGCUGGGCGAGACCAGAAGAGUGUUUGAAACCUGAAAAUCCCAUUUGUUGAAAAGUCAUCUCCAGAAAUUCCCUUUCCCUCUUGUGCCUACACCAUCCAUACCUGGAUUGGAACGGGAUGAAGGCUGGAGAGAUGUGUCUUGGGUCAGUCAUCACUUGGUCAACCCAUCAGAAGUCCCAAGAGGCCAAUGUUAAUUUUAUGGAAAGAGUUCAGCUUACUUGAUCAUUGACUCGCUUCAUAAAUAUGUCUGGAUGAAGUGUAAAUUUUAUUUACUAGGCACUAAGUGUAAAUUUUAUUUAUUUACUAUCAUUAAAAAUAUGUUUGGGCAUAAUCAGACUUCCCCCUUCUCACAAAAUGACCAUACUGUAAUGUUUUCAUUUUGAAUUAGAAAGUUAUUUUUCUUUCUCGAUGUUUAUUUAUUAAAGAAAAUCAUGCCUUUAGCAUUAGCCACAAAGGGGGUAUUUUCUGAUAUGAUUUGGUCAUAUCCAGCAAACAUAUUUUUAAGAUCGGCAUCAACCAAAAGAUCCGUUUUUGACAUACUCAGUGUGAGGGUGAAGAAAGAUAAAAUCAUUUUCAUCUUCGCAGGGCAUCCAGGCUCAACACAAAAAUCAGGGUAAGGGUAUUGACGAUUCAGACAUUGAUGCCCAAGUCCACAGGCCUGUCCAUUUCGGGAUAUGUAAAUGAUUACAUCCCCCCCCCCCCCCUUCGUUGUACAUACAUGUCUUGCAAACAGCUGAAAUACUGCUGAAGGCAAGAGUUACCAUUUGUUACAUGUGUUUGUGUUACCUGUUAUGCAAGAAGUGAGAGAGAGAGAGAGAGAGGUUAAAUGGUGUCUGCAUUCCAAAAUUACAUGAUUGUUGCAUAAGCAAGGUAAAAAUUUUAUAGAUAAGUUCCAUUUAAUUUAGAAACCUCAGUUUGAGUAUUUCAUUCCUGAUGGCAGUUACGAUCUGUUAGAAUACUAGACUUAAAAGUAUGAUAGUUCUGAUCAGUGUGUUGAUUUUUUCCAGUGCUCUACAAAGAUCACAGUAUUUUGAUUUGCUGAUUCACAUCUUUUUGUUCAGAACUGAAAAACCUUAUACUACUGAUUCUUGUCGUGAUUAUUGAUCACAAGUUGUCCAGUUAAUUAUAUUAGUGCCAAUGGAGAGUGGCAUGAAAACUGAAUAAAGUAUCUUGUAUGUUAUAUUGAAA
Liolophura sinensis is the source of this 2319-nucleotide long non-coding RNA. RefSeq lists it as uncharacterized. Lineage: Eukaryota; Metazoa; Mollusca; Polyplacophora; Chitonida; Chitonidae. The record is from RefSeq and is a predicted model, not a curated record. The transcript has 3 exons.